RNAcentral lists this ribosomal RNA (301 nucleotides) under uncultured bacterium. RNAcentral's name for it is "partial 16S ribosomal RNA". It matches the Rfam family "Bacterial small subunit ribosomal RNA", at positions 509 to 807 of the family's 1533-position model. The record is from RNAcentral.
CAGUAGCCACGGUAAUACGAAGGGGGCUAGCGUUGCUCGGAAUUACUGGGCGUAAAGGGAGCGUAGGCGGACAUUUAAGUCAGGGGUGAAAUCCCAGAGCUCAACUCUGGAACUGCCCUUGAUACUGGGUGUCUUGAGUGUGAUAGAGGUAUGUGGAACUCCGAGUGUAGAGGUGAAAUUCGUAGAUAUUCGGAAGAACACCAGUGGCGAAGGCGACGUACUGGAUCAUUACUGACGCUGAGGCUCGAAAGCGUGGGGAGCAAACAGGAUUAGAUACCCAUGUAGUCCCUGUCUCUUAUAC